This is a non-coding RNA of Cyanistes caeruleus (blue tit), 1735 nucleotides long. The record is from RefSeq and is a predicted model, not a curated record. Lineage: Eukaryota; Metazoa; Chordata; Aves; Passeriformes; Paridae.
GACACCCAAUUUUUGGUUUGGAUGGUUGGGUUUUUUGCUUUGAUAAUCCCUCCUGCAGGAAUAUUUAAAGGAUGAGUUAAAAGUGUCAAAAUUUUUAUUAUUCGUCAGCAGGUUAUCCUCUUCAUUAGCUAUUAUGUCUCAUGCGUACUUGUUUGCUUCUAGGAAGCUCAUUUUAAAUGACAUGUCUCUGGUUUUGUUCAUUACUUUAAUUAAAAUAAGCACCCUGCGAUUGUUAGAGCUAAGUUUUUAUCUUAAUCUUUUACCCUUUCAUUUGUUUAUAAAUACCAAUUUCUUCAGUGUCCUAGUGAGGCUUUUCAGUCAGUGUUUAGUGCUGUGUAUCCAGAAGUCUGAUUAUGGGAUAAUAAAAGACUGAUUUCUACACUGCCUUAUAGAACUCAUAUAGAACUCAUAUAGAACUCUAUACUGCUUUGUAGAACUCAUUAAAUUUGGAGAUGAAACAGGCUGUCAGCAAGUCUGCUUGUUGCAGUUCUCUUAGAGAAGUUGGAGGUAGUCUUUUCUAUCAGAAUGCUGCAAUACCACUUCAAUUCUAGUAGCAAGUUGGUGCAAAAGAGUAAUGACUAAAUCCAUCAUCUGAGGAGCCUGGGGGGAAGAUGAGUUUAAAACAAUUCAGACUCAGCCACAAAGUCUGUAUGAAAAUUGUGGCCCACAAGCCUGGACAAGCAGCAUCGGGGGACCCAAGAACCAGCCAGCAGGUCCAGAUUGGUGGAUGCCCACUCUAAAAUACAAUGAUCUCCAUAUCCUUCCUUCUCCUCUCCUCAAAACUCCUGAAGCAGACGUAAGGUCCACCAAGCACCUCCCCUCCCCAAAAAUCCACAAAGCUAUCAUUUGUCAUGAGGGGAAAGGUCAAGAGAAGAACACUGUCCUAUAUCCACUCUCUUUGUUGGACCAAAAAGAUGGGUUGAUGGCAGGCAAACACUUCCCCUCCCAGAGUGACCCAGUACACCUCAGGAAAGAAACAGUGAGCAGGCUGUGCUUCUGAACACUUCAAGGCAGCUCAACAUUGGACUCUUUUUGUCCCAAAAUCUACAGUUUCUGCUUUUCCUUCCUUUCCCAUUGUUGUAGACAUGAAAAAGCAUCUGUGAAAUGUCUGUGCUUUGACAUUUCUGAGGUAAGUUUCCAGCUCUUCUAGCAGCAGUUAGGUAUGUAUCUGGCAAUUUGGACUGGGGGGAAGGUUUGAGAUUGGUUUGAUUUGUUUUUUUUCUUAAACUUCCAUUGAACUGUGCUGCGGGUUUGCAAAUUUCUCUCAAUGGCAUACACGUUCUUUCCUGAACAUUUUUCUCCAGUCUAUGUGACUUGAAAAAGUGCUUAAUGAAAUAGUCUUCUGUGCCUGCACCAUAAACACAUGUUAGCCCUAGAGAAACUAAAAAGAGGUGAGCCACUUUGUUCUCUGCACAGCUUAUCUCAAGACAUCCCUCUCUGCCUUGUCCCUCUCUACAAUCUUCACCACCAGCCUAAAUAUUCAGGUGCAGACAUCCUAUCUGUGAUUAUCUCCAGCUGUGGACAUGAAGAAUCUGAGUGAAGGCAUUUGGCAUCCUCUCAGCAUGUGGCCUGUGAUUCUCCUCGUUUCUUGAGCUCUCUGGCUCAGACUAACCAACAGAGCCAUAACUGCCCUACAGCAUGGCAUAGCCCUCGGUGCUAGCAACAAAACUGAGUGCCAAAUUCCUGCUUUCACUUGGUAACCUUGCUGGAAAGCCAUAGUGCUUUAAACAGUUAA